Molecule: long non-coding RNA, 85 nt
Organism: Trachymyrmex septentrionalis
Lineage: Eukaryota; Metazoa; Arthropoda; Insecta; Hymenoptera; Formicidae
Exons: 3
Source: RefSeq, a predicted model, not a curated record
CCGACCGCAUCAUGAACAUUGGCUACGUAGUUCAAUAUCCACAUUUUGUGGACAUAGAGACGCUUCAAAAUAAGGUUGGAACUAA